AGCAGAGAUGCUUUGGUGCCUUCGGGAACUCUGAGACAGGUGCUGCAUGGCUGUCGUCAGCUCGUGUUGUGAAAUGUUGGGUUAAGUCCCGCAACGAGCGCAACCCUUAUCCUUUGUUGCCAGCGGUCCGGCCGGGAACUCAAAGGAGACUGCCAGUGAUAAACUGGAGGAAGGUGGGGAUGACGUCAAGUCAUCAUGGCCCUUACGAGUAGGGCUACACACGUGCUACAAUGGCAUAUACAAAGAGAAGCGACCUCGCGAGAGCAAGCGGACCUCAUAAAGUAUGUCGUAGUCCGGAUUGGAGUCUGCAACUCGACUCCAUGAAGUCGGAAUCGCUAGUAAUCGUGGAUCAGAAUGCCACGGUGAAUACGUUCCCGGGCCUUGUACACACCGCCCGUCACACCAUGGGAGUGGGUUGCAAAAGAAGUAGGUAGCUUAACCUUCGGGAGGGCGCUUACCACUUUGUGAUUCAUGACUGGGGUGAAGUCGUAACAAGGUAACCGUAGGGGAACCUGCGGUUGGAUCACCUCCUUA
Molecule: ribosomal RNA, 534 nt
Filed under: Citrobacter freundii
Lineage: Bacteria; Pseudomonadati; Pseudomonadota; Gammaproteobacteria; Enterobacterales; Enterobacteriaceae
Also listed under: 2 other names
Description: bacterial SSU rRNA
Rfam family: Bacterial small subunit ribosomal RNA
Source: RNAcentral